RNAcentral lists this long non-coding RNA (571 nucleotides) under Mus caroli (Ryukyu mouse). RNAcentral's name for it is "lncRNA (MGP_CAROLIEiJ_G0004549.1)". Lineage: Eukaryota; Metazoa; Chordata; Mammalia; Rodentia; Muridae. The record is from RNAcentral.
ACAUGGAACACCUGAACAAGCAGAAUAGGAGCUAGGUUCCAAGACCUGGGAACAUGAACUCAGUUUUGAUCCAGUUAGCUGAGAUGGCUGGACUCAGAAAACUGUCUCCUAACAGUAGCAAGAGAGCAAUGGGAAGGAUGUAAGAGCCAGGGGACCAUUUGCUGGUCUGCCAAUCAUCUUAGAGUCUCUGCUGAAGAUGCCUGGGCUGGGAAAUCCACUCAGUCAGGAGGAGAAAGAGACCCUCGAGGACCCUGGCUCUAUCUUACACCUGCUGCCCUUGACCGUGUGGUGACCUUGACCAUGUGGUGACGCCCAAAUGACCACUCUGGAUUCCUAGACCUUGGAACCAGAGCCAAAGAAACCUCUGUGCUUUAUAAAUCACUCAACCAGGAAUACUCAGUUAUAGUAACAGAAAACAAAGCUAAGUCACACGGGAUGUAAGGAGAUGAGCCCAGAUUAGAGAUAAGGCUAAAGAAUUAAUCAGAUGGAAAAAUCACUCCUGUACUUGUUCGUGUUAGAACUGCAUCAUGUUUUUAUACGGGAAAAAAAUGUAUUAAAUACACUCUCUACC